This 299-nucleotide signal recognition particle RNA is filed under the name Cebus imitator (Panamanian white-faced capuchin). RNAcentral describes it as "Metazoan signal recognition particle RNA (ENSCCAG00000014909.1)". It matches the Rfam family "Metazoan signal recognition particle RNA". From Rfam's summary of the family: The signal recognition particle (SRP) is a universally conserved ribonucleoprotein. Lineage: Eukaryota; Metazoa; Chordata; Mammalia; Primates; Cebidae. The record is from RNAcentral.
GCUGGGCAUGGUGGCGCGUGCCUGUAAUCUCAGCUACUUGGGAAGCUGAGGUGGGAGGAUUGCUUGAGCCCAGGAGUUCUGGGCUGUAGUGUGCUAUGCUGAUUGGGUGUCCACACUAAGUUCGGCAUCAAUAUGGUGACUUUCCCGGAGCGGGGGACGACCAGGUUGCCUAAGGAGGGGUGAACCGACCCAGGUUGGAAACAGAGCAGGUCAAAACUCCCGUGCUGAUCAGUAGUGUGAUCCUGCCUGUGAAUGGCCACUGCACUCUAGCCUGGGCAACAUAGCGAGACCCCGUCUCA